CCUACGGGGGGCUGCAGUAGGGAAUCUUCCACAAUGGGCGAAAGCCUGAUGGAGCAACGCCGCGUGUGUGAUGAAGGCUUUCGGGUCGUAAAGCACUGUUGUAUGGGAAGAACAGCUAGAAUAGGGAAUGAUUUUAGUUUGACGGUACCAUACCAGAAAGGGACGGCUAAAUACGUGCCAGCAGCCGCGGUAAUACGUAUGUCCCGAGCGUUAUCCGGAUUUAUUGGGCGUAAAGCGAGCGCAGACGGUUGAUUAAGUCU
Molecule: ribosomal RNA, 260 nt
Filed under: uncultured Bacillota bacterium
Lineage: Bacteria; Bacillati; Bacillota
Description: uncultured Firmicutes bacterium partial 16S ribosomal RNA
Rfam family: Bacterial small subunit ribosomal RNA
Source: RNAcentral